RNAcentral lists this transfer RNA (75 nucleotides) under Thermosulfuriphilus ammonigenes. RNAcentral describes it as "tRNA-Thr". It matches the Rfam family "tRNA". Rfam says of the family: Transfer RNA (tRNA) molecules are approximately 80 nucleotides in length. Their secondary structure includes four short double-helical elements and three loops (D, anti-codon, and T loops). The record is from RNAcentral. Lineage: Bacteria; Pseudomonadati; Thermodesulfobacteriota; Thermodesulfobacteria; Thermodesulfobacteriales; Thermodesulfobacteriaceae.
GCCGGCGUAGCUCAGCGGCAGAGCAGCGGAUUCGUAAUCCGCAGGUCAGGGGUUCAAAUCCCCUCGCCGGCUCCA